AACCGCGGCAGCAGUUGGACAACGGAAUCUUCAGCCAGAUCCCAGAAUAACCACCUAAGCCUGAUCCUAGGCCUAGUUUCUAACGAACCCAGGGAUUCUAACCCCCCAUGGACCAACUGCCGUACGUCCUUCAGCCGCAAUUUGGGGCGCAUGCCAUCCACAGGUCCUUCCCUGAUAGCCCAUCCUUCUGCUCCUUCUGGUGAACACCAGCUGGCCACGACCGUUCCUUUUAGGCACCUGACAAUACAGCGCUCCCUUUCCCUAGCCCCCUGUAAUUUGUCCAAACCCUCCCCUGUAAUUUGAUUGUGCUCCUGACCUCCUCAGGGGAGUGACUGACAUGCCACACAAAAGAGCUUGCUUGCCCCCUGGAAUAAGUCCUGAGGCAGUUUCUCCGUUUUUGAAAUUUCUGACCCCUUAUCUAUAUGUGGGUCUUAGCUACUGGACUGUCACACACCUCAACUAAUAAGGAUCCGGGCAAGGUCUGUGCUCAAGCCUCUGUAGGAUUUCCAAAAAUACUUCGAUCCUACCCUUAAACAGAUCCUGAGAUCAAGAACUCAACCUGGCUUCAUUCGAGGAGAACCAUGUACGACACCAACUUCCUGUUUCAAAAUCCUAAAGUUACUAAAAUUCAAGUUGGAGCCAGAGCUGUCCAACGACAUCAGAGCAAGGAUGAUCCCUUGAUGGUAAUCUAUUUGAAUAUCAAUUAAAUCUGAGAAAUCAUCCCAGCUACCCACAACCUCACACAACCAAUGUCAAAUCUUCCAUCUGGGAACACUUCACCUACAGGACACGAGGGAAGUCAACACAACGCAUUCAACAUGACCGCUGCAGAGAUAGCUCUCAACCAGGCCUGCAACAGGGAAAAUCCGCAAUACCAGAUGAGCUAACAGUGGCGACAUGCUCCAUAGUUUUUUUCCACUUCCUCCAGCCAGCCAGAGAAGCUAAAAAUGUCCCAGGCCAACGCAAAGACCCAGCGGAAGCUUUAACAAACCAGCCAAUUAUUAAAGCAGGUUUUCUCCAUGGCAUAUUCUAGUGGUCAGGCUUAAAUUCCAGUUUUACAUUAAAUGUGAAUGGAACCACU
Long non-coding RNA from Ornithorhynchus anatinus (platypus), 1081 nucleotides. RefSeq lists it as uncharacterized. NCBI's taxonomy places the organism in Eukaryota, Metazoa, Chordata, Mammalia, Monotremata, Ornithorhynchidae. The transcript is spliced from 3 exons. The record is from RefSeq and is a predicted model, not a curated record.